CAUAGACGAUCAUAGUUAAAUAAAGUUUUAUUACCGAAAAUACUUGAUUUUAAGACUGGUUGAAUUUUGUUCUCUGGCAUACCGGGUAGGUAUGAUUAAACUGUGUUUACGUUGUGAGAAAUUAUACGGUUGUAUUUAUAACUGUUUAAUAGCUAUUUUUCUUAUUGUAUUAGCUUUUAGGCCAAGAUGUCUAAAAGAAUUAAAUAUCCUGCCUAUUUUGUCUAGACUAAAGGGUUAAAAUUACCCACUAUUUAUAAUUGUGUUACAACUUUUACUUAUUUUUUCGCGGAUUUUUUUUAUUGGCUAUUUAUUUAUAAUUAUUAGUGUUGUAUUAUGUUUAUAUAAGUAAUUUUAAUAUAUGAUAUGUUUCUCAUUAGCUGCCUGUCUGUUUAUUAAAAACAUUUCCACUCUAAGUAAUGGGAGGUAGUACCUGCUCUAUGCUUUUGUAAAUGGCCGCAGUAUAUUGACUGUGCGAAGGUAGCAUAAUUAAUUGCCCUAUAAUUGAGGGCUUGUUUGAAUGGUUUGACAAGGUGGUGUAUAACAUUUUUUAUUUAAUUGAAUUUAAUUAUAGGGGCACAGAAUCCCCUGAAGUUAAUUAGACGGAAAGACCCCGGGAUCUUUAGUUUUUGUCUGGGGCAGAUUAUGAUGUUUCAUUUAUAAGUUUGACCCUAAUGGUGCGUUGGGUUAAGUUACCCCGGGGAUAACAGUGUAAUAGUCUAUUAGAGAUCUUAUCGAAUAGACUGCUUGCCACCUCGAUGUUGACUUAGGCUUAGGCUUGGGCGCAGUAGUCCAAGUCUUUGGUCUGUUCGACCUUAGAUAGCCUCCAUGAG
This 830-nucleotide ribosomal RNA is filed under the name Cephalobothrium sp. n. 5 AW-2016. RNAcentral describes it as "partial 16S ribosomal RNA". The stretch from base 599 to 830 matches the Rfam family "Archaeal large subunit ribosomal RNA", at positions 2156 to 2673 of the family's 2987-position model. Lineage: Eukaryota; Metazoa; Platyhelminthes; Cestoda; Lecanicephalidea; Lecanicephalidae. The record is from RNAcentral.